CAGAGACACGGCCGAUAGUGAGAGGGGUCCACUGAGAAAGCAAAAAGCAUGAGUGGACUUCAAUCCACAGGGUGUUUAAGAAAUAGAACUACACCUGAUACUUGUAAACUCUACCUGGACUUGUAUCUUGUCAACUUUGGAAGUCUUUCUGUUUGCCCAAAAGACAGGAUAAAAGCUUUACCCAGAUAGGAUGCUUAAGCAUUAAGAGGGAAAAAUACAUGACUUUGCUUUAAAGUGAGAUGAAGAAGCAAUCGUCUGCUGUCUUCCUGCCUGGGGAUGUAGAU
Molecule: long non-coding RNA, 284 nt
Filed under: Ursus maritimus (polar bear)
Lineage: Eukaryota; Metazoa; Chordata; Mammalia; Carnivora; Ursidae
Description: lncRNA (ENSUMAG00000015644.1)
Source: RNAcentral